UACGUAGGUGGCAAGCGUUGUCCGGAAUUACUGGGCGUAAAGCGCACGUAGGCGGACCAGAAAGUUGGAGGUGAAAUCCCAGGGCUCAACCUUGGAACUGCCUUCAAAACUAUUGGUCUGGAGUUCGAGAGAGGUGAGUGGAAUUCCGAGUGUAGAGGUGAAAUUCGUAGAUAUUCGGAGGAACACCAGUGGCGAAGGCGGCUCACUGGCUCGAUACUGACGCUGAGGUGCGAAAGCGUGGGGAGCAAACAGG
RNAcentral lists this ribosomal RNA (253 nucleotides) under uncultured bacterium. RNAcentral's name for it is "partial 16S ribosomal RNA". It matches the Rfam family "Bacterial small subunit ribosomal RNA", at positions 524 to 776 of the family's 1533-position model. The record is from RNAcentral.